GGGGUUGUAGCUCAGUGGUAGAGCGCUCGCUUCGCAUCCAUUAAAUGGGAAAUGCGAGAGGUCAAGGGUUCGAUCCCCUUCAACUCCA
Aspergillus brasiliensis CBS 101740 is the source of this 88-nucleotide transfer RNA. It matches the Rfam family "tRNA". Rfam says of the family: Transfer RNA (tRNA) molecules are approximately 80 nucleotides in length. Their secondary structure includes four short double-helical elements and three loops (D, anti-codon, and T loops). The record is from Rfam. NCBI's taxonomy places the organism in Eukaryota, Fungi, Ascomycota, Eurotiomycetes, Eurotiales, Aspergillaceae.